GUCUUUCUCCCAAAGCACUUUCCCUACUUCCUGUGCUCUUGCAGAGACGCGCGCGUCGGGGUUUAACGCGUUUCUGGGCCGCCGUAAGCCCGGCCUAGGGGCAGCUUUGACUCGAGAGCCGGCUACAGGCGCAUGGAAGGUUCCCUGGAACGGGAGGCGCCAGCGGCGGCGCUGGCCGCCGUGCUAAAGCACAGCUCGACGUUGCCGCCCGAAAGCACCCAGGUCCGGGGCUACGACUUCAACCGCGGUGUGAAUUACCGCGCACUGCUGGAGGCCUUCGGCACCACCGGCUUCCAGGCAACCAACUUCGGGCGCGCUGUACAGCAAGUCAAUGCCAUGAUCGAGAAGAAGCUGGAACCGCUGUCACAGGAUGAAGACCAGCACGCGGACCUGACCCAGAGCCGCCGCCCACUUACCAGCUGCACCAUUUUCCUGGGAUAUACAUCCAACCUCAUCAGUUCAGGCAUCCGUGAGACCAUUCGCUACCUUGUGCAGCACAACAUGGUGGACGUAUUGGUGACCACAGCUGGCGGCGUGGAGGAAGACCUCAUCAAGUGCCUGGCGCCCACAUACUUGGGCGAGUUUAGCCUCAGGGGGAAGGAGCUCCGGGAGAACGGGAUCAAUAGGAUCGGAAACCUGCUGGUGCCCAAUGACAAUUACUGCAAGUUUGAGGACUGGCUGAUGCCCAUUCUGGACCAGAUGGUGAUGGAGCAGAACACAGAGGGUGUAAAGUGGACGCCUUCUAAGAUGAUCGCCCGGCUCGGCAAGGAGAUCAACAACCCAGAGUCAGUGUAUUACUGGGCCCAGAAGAACCACAUCCCUGUGUUUAGUCCCGCACUUACAGACGGCUCGCUGGGCGACAUGAUCUUCUUCCAUUCCUACAAGAACCCGGGCCUGGUCCUGGACAUCGUUGAGGACCUGAGGCUCAUCAACACACAGGCCAUCUUUGCCAAGUGCACUGGGAUGAUCAUUCUGGGCGGGGGCGUGGUCAAGCACCACAUUGCCAAUGCCAACCUCAUGCGGAACGGGGCCGACUACGCUGUUUACAUCAACACAGCCCAGGAGUUUGAUGGCUCUGACUCAGGUGCCCGACCAGACGAGGCUGUCUCCUGGGGCAAGAUCCGGGUGGAUGCACAGCCUGUCAAGGUCUAUGCUGACGCCUCCCUGGUCUUCCCCCUGCUUGUGGCUGAAACCUUUGCCCAGAAGAUGGAUGCCUUCAUGCAUGAGAAGAACGAGGACUGAGCGGCUGCGGUCCCAGGAAGGAGCCGCAAUGUGGAGUCCAGGCUGGACACCAGGGUGCACUGCCCAUCCCGGCUGAAGCAGGUGCAGGCUGGAGUGCAAUGGCAUGAUCUUGGCUCACCGGAACCUCUGCCUCCCGGAUUCAAGAGAUUCUCCUUCCUCAGCCUCCCGAGUAGAUGGGAAUACAGGCAUGCACCACCACGCCCUGCUAAUUUUGUAUUUUUAGUAGAGACGGGGUUUCUCCAUGUUGGUCAGGCUGCUCUCGAACUCCCAACCUCAGGUGAUCCGCCCACCUCAGGCUUCCAAAGUGCUGGGAUUACAGGUGUGAGCCACCCCACCUGGCCCAAUUCCCCCUUUUCCUGCUCCUCCUCCUCAGUACUCAGUCCCACCACUUUCCCCACUACCCAGCACCAGCAUCUAGACUGUUCUGGUCUCCCUGCACCCCCACAGCCACCAGAGGGAGCACUUUUCGAAGUACAGUUGACCCAUGAACAACACGGUUUGAACUGAACGUGUCCACUUAUAUGUGGAUUUUCUUCUGCCUCUAUCAGCCGUGAGACACCAAGAUCAAUCCCUCCUCUUCCUCCUCCUCUGCUUUCUCAACAUGAAGAUCUUUAUGACGAUCUCUUCACUUCCACUUAAUGAAUAGAAAAUAUAUUUUUUCCGCCAGGCGCGGUGGCUCGCGCCUGUGAUUUCAGCACUUUGGGAGGCUGAGGCAGGUGGAUCACGAGGUCAAGAGAUGGAGACCCUCCUGGCCAACAUGGCGAAACCCCGUCUCUACUAAAAAUACAAAAAUUAGCUGGGCGUGGUGGCACGCGACUGUAGUCCCAGCUACUCGGGAGGCUGAGGCAGGAGAAUCGCCUAAACCCAGAAGUUGGAGGUUGCAGUGAGCUGAGAUCACGUCACUGCACUCCAGCCUGGCGACAGAGCGAGACUGCGUCUCAAAAAAAAAAAAAAAAAAUUCUUCCUUAUGAUUAUUUUUAUGUAUUAUUUAUUUAUUUAUUUAAUUUAUUUACUUAUUUUGAGACGGAGUCUUGCUCUAUCGCCCAGGCUGGAGUGUAGUGGCGCGAUGUCGGCUCACAGCAAGCUCUGCCUCCCGGGUUCACUCCAUUCUCCUGCCUCAGCCUCCUGAGUAGCUGGGACUACAGGCGCCUGCCACUAUGCCCGGCUAAUUUUUUGUAUUUUUAGUAGAGACGGGAUUUCACCGUGUUAGCCAGAAUGAUCUCGAUCUCCUGACCUCAUGAUCCGCCUGCCUCUGCCUCCCAAAGUGCUGGGAUUACAGGCAUGAGCCACAGCGCCUGACCUAUUUUUAUUUAUUUUAAAAAAUCAUUUUAUUUUAUCUUUUUUUUUUUGAGAUGGAGUCUCACUUUGUCGCCCAGGCUGGAGUGCAGUGGCACAAUCUCGGCUCACUGCAACCUCCAACUCCCGGGUUCAGGCGAUUCUCCUGCCUCCACCUCCCGAGUGGCUGGGAUUACAGGCUCCCGUCACCACACCUGGCUAAUUUUUGCAUUUUUAGUAGAGACGGGGUUUCACCAUGUUGGCCAGGCUGAUCUCAAACUCCUGACCUCAAGUGAUCUGCCCACCUUGGCCUCCCAAAGUGCUGGGAUUACAGGUGUGAGCCACCGUGCCCAGCCAGAUGAUUAUUAUUUUUUAGACAGUCUUACUUUCACCCAGCAUGGAGUGCAGUGGUGCCUCGAACUCUUGGACUCAAGUGAUCCUUCCACCUCAGCCUCCCAAGUAGCUGGGACUACAGCUGUGUGCCACUGUGCCCAGCUGAGAGUAGGUUUUAAUCUGAGCAUGGGGGCAGCUAUGAUUCCCAGUAGCACCUGGGGUGAGACCAGGUCAUGGCUCCACUCACCCUGCCAGGACCUCGUGGUCUGACACCUUCACACUGGAUACGCCAUCUCUGGCCUCAUCCAGCGUCUGCACUGGCUCAGGCCUCCGUGAGCGGCAAUCCCAACAGCGGAUACUGGAAUCAAUAGAGCCUGUGAGGCCAGCAUGAUGGUGAGGUCAGGUUUGGAGGGGGAGGGCAGCACCCUGGGCCCCCGUGCUUAGGCCCCAGACUCACCGGACAGGAUAACUGUGGCCUCUUCAUUAAACUGCACCGUGUUCACCUUCUGAGAAAGUUAUUGCCACUCAGAGGAGGCUGGACUUUGGAGGAUUGGGAUAAAGGCAGGGUUCCCAGUGUCGGUUAAA
Gorilla gorilla gorilla (western lowland gorilla) is the source of this 3435-nucleotide RNA transcript. It is a transcript of the gene named deoxyhypusine synthase, with no coding region annotated. Lineage: Eukaryota; Metazoa; Chordata; Mammalia; Primates; Hominidae. The transcript has 11 exons. The record is from RefSeq and is a predicted model, not a curated record.